RNAcentral lists this ribosomal RNA (497 nucleotides) under uncultured bacterium. Its description in RNAcentral is "bacterial SSU rRNA". It matches the Rfam family "Bacterial small subunit ribosomal RNA", at positions 1 to 507 of the family's 1533-position model. The record is from RNAcentral.
UGUGACGAGUUUGAUCAUGGCUCAGAUUGAACGCUGGCGGCAGGCUUAACACAUGCAAGUCGAGCGGAGACUUCGGUCUUAGCGGCGAACGGGUGAGUAACACCUAGGAAUCUGCCUAUUAGUGGGGGAUAACGUGUGGAAACGCACGCUAAUACCGCAUACGUCCUACGGGAGAAAGCAGGGGAUCUUCGGACCUUGCGCUAAUAGAUGAGCCUAGGCCGGAUUAGCUAGUUGGUGGGGUAAAGGCCUACCAAGGCGACGAUCUAUAGCUGGUCUGAGAGGAUGAUCAGCCACAUCGGGACUGAGACACGGCCCGGACUCCUACGGGAGGCAGCAGUGGGGAAUAUUGGACAAUGGGCGCAAGCCUGAUCCAGCAAUGCCGCGUGUGUGAAGAAGGCCUUAGGGUUGUAAAGCACUUUCAAUUGUGAAGAAGGGGUUAAGGUUAAUACCCUUGAUCUUUGACGUUAACUUUAGAAGAAGCACCGGCUAACUCUGUG